RNAcentral lists this ribosomal RNA (455 nucleotides) under uncultured Cellulomonas sp. RNAcentral describes it as "bacterial SSU rRNA". It matches the Rfam family "Bacterial small subunit ribosomal RNA", at positions 925 to 1382 of the family's 1533-position model. Lineage: Bacteria; Bacillati; Actinomycetota; Actinomycetes; Micrococcales; Cellulomonadaceae. The record is from RNAcentral.
ACAAGCGGCGGAGCAUGCGGAUAAUUCGAUGCAACGCGAAGAACCUUACCAAGGCUUGACAUACACCGGUAACGCCCAGAGAUGGGUGCCCCUUUGUGGUCGGUGUACAGGUGGUGCAUGGUUGUCGUCAGCUCGUGUCGUGAGAUGUUGGGUUAAGUCCCGCAACGAGCGCAACCCUCGUCCUAUGUUGCCAGCGGGUCAUGCCGGGGACUCAUGGGAGACUGCCGGGGUCAACUCGGAGGAAGUGGGGAUGACGUCAAAUCAUCAUGCCCCUUAUGUCUUGGGCUUCACGCAUGCUACAAUGGCCGGUACAAAGGGCUGCGAUACCGCGAGGUGGAGCGAAUCCCAGAAAGCCGGUCUCAGUUCGGAUUGGGGUCUGCAACUCGACCCCAUGAAGUCGGAGUCGCUAGUAAUCGCAGAUCAGCAACGCUGCGGUGAAUACGUUCCCGGGCCUU